Molecule: ribosomal RNA, 459 nt
Filed under: uncultured bacterium
Lineage: Bacteria
Description: partial 16S ribosomal RNA
Rfam family: Bacterial small subunit ribosomal RNA
Source: RNAcentral
CCUACGGGUGGCUGCAGUGAGGAAUAUUGGUCAAUGGGCGGGAGCCUGAACCAGCCAAGUCGCGUGAGGGAAGACGGCCCUAUGGAUUGUAAACCUCUUUUGCCCGGGAGUAAAACACGCCACGCGUGGCGUUCCGCGAGUACCCGAAGAAUAAGCAUCGGCUAACUCCGUGCCAGCAGCCGCGGUAAUACGGAGGGUCCGAGCGUUAUCCGGAUUCAUUGGGCUUAAAGGGUGCGCAGGCGGAAGAUCAAGUCAGCGGUAAAAUUGGGGGGCUCAACCUCUGCGAGCCGUUGAAACUGGAUGUCUUGAGUGAGCGAGAAGUAGGCGGAAUGCGUGGUGUAGCGGUGAAAUGCAUAGAUAGCACGCAGAACUCCGAUUGCGAAGGCAGCAUACCGGCGCUCAACUGACGCUCAGGCACGAAAGUGUGGGUAUCGAACAGGAUUAGAUACCCCUGUAGUC